This 825-nucleotide ribosomal RNA is filed under the name Triticum aestivum (bread wheat). Its description in RNAcentral is "partial small subunit ribosomal RNA". The record is from RNAcentral. Lineage: Eukaryota; Viridiplantae; Streptophyta; Magnoliopsida; Poales; Poaceae.
AUGAAUUACCUGGAUGGGGGAGAGAUCGGAGGACAUGAACUGUUGGACCGUGUCCCUCCUGUCCUCGAGCGACUUGCAGACCUUGGCGUCCUGGAGGCACCCCCUGAUCCUGUUCCAGUUCCUGUCGUUCUCCACCCGCCUCUGCAGCCAGGUGGAGUAGUCCCCGAGCCGGUACUCCUUGAACCCGCGGCCGGAGACGGCCUCGCCGGUGCCCUUGUGCGUGACGACGAAGGCGAAGACGGUGAUGCCGAGGAGGACGACGAUGAGCAGGAACAUGGCGACGAGGUAGAACCAGAGGAGGCAUGUCACGCGGCAGCAGGCGCCGACAAGCCCCGCGAUGGAGACGAGCAUGAGGAAGACCCCCAGGACGAUGACCGGCGCCGCCAGGUACCGCUCGCACUCGGUGCCGUCGGCGCGCGCGCGCAGCCAGAUGCCCCCCGCCAGGAUCGGCACCGAGAGGAGGAAGGUGAUGGCGUUCAGGAUCCCGAUCAUGGUGUUGCUCAGCCGCACCAUCUUGGCCGGGCGCCGGCGUCGGCGUGCGGUUUCUUGGACGGGGGCGGGUGGCGGUUGGCGGUUGGCGCGGCGGUUUUCGAAAGGUUUUUGGGGAAGGGGGCGUGGCGCACGGUGUGGUCUGGGAAUUGUGUGACGAUGUGGGAUGGUGGUGGGCGCGUAUUUGUAGAGGGGGUGUGUGCGCGUGGAUUGGAUUGGGCCGGGUUGGGGUGGGCGGGAGGAAAGUUCUUGGGCUUUUCCUUUUUCGUGUGUGAGCGGAAAGGGGCGUGGCGGUUGCUGAUGGAUGGAUCGUUCGCUGGGCACGGAAACUAUUGA